GGGGAAUUUUGGACAAUGGGCGCAAGCCUGAUCCAGCCAUUCCGCGUGCAGGAUGAAGGCCCUCGGGUUGUAAACUGCUUUUGUACGGAACGAAAAGGCUUCUUCUAAUACAGGAGGCUCAUGACGGUACCGUAAGAAUAAGCACCGGCUAACUACGUGCCAGCAGCCGCGGUAAUACGUAGGGUCCAAGCGUUAUCCGGAAUCACUGGGCGUAAAGCGUGCGUAGGUGGUUUGUUAAGUGUAUUGCGAAAUCCUGUGGCUCAACCAUAUGGACUGUAAUGCAUACUGGCAAACUCGAGGACAUGAGAGGCAAGUGGAAUUACUGGUGUAGCAGUGAAAUGCGUAGAGAUCAGUAGGAACACCAAUGGCGAAGGCAGCUUGCUGGCAUGUUUCUGACGCUAAGGCACGAAAGCGUGGGUAGCGAAC
This 426-nucleotide ribosomal RNA is filed under the name uncultured bacterium. RNAcentral's name for it is "bacterial SSU rRNA". It matches the Rfam family "Bacterial small subunit ribosomal RNA", at positions 356 to 773 of the family's 1533-position model. The record is from RNAcentral.